Molecule: ribosomal RNA, 253 nt
Filed under: uncultured bacterium
Lineage: Bacteria
Description: partial 16S ribosomal RNA
Rfam family: Bacterial small subunit ribosomal RNA
Source: RNAcentral
UACGGAGGGUCCGAGCGUUAUCCGGAUUUAUUGGGUUUAAAGGGUGCGUAGGCGGGACUUUAAGUUAGUCGUUAAAUAGUGAGGCUUAACCUCGCAGUGGCGAUUAAUACUGGAGACCUAGAGAUUAGAUGCAGAGGGCGGAAUGUGUAGUGUAGCGGUGAAAUGCUUAGAUAUUACACAGAACACCGAUUGCGAAGGCAGCUCUCUAAUCUACAUCUGACGCUCAGGCACGAAGGCGUGGGGAUCAAACAGG